Molecule: ribosomal RNA, 912 nt
Filed under: Triticum aestivum (bread wheat)
Lineage: Eukaryota; Viridiplantae; Streptophyta; Magnoliopsida; Poales; Poaceae
Description: partial small subunit ribosomal RNA
Source: RNAcentral
AUGGUGGACACCGGCGCCGGUGAGGAAGAAGAGGGCGUGGAGGACAGCAGGUCGAACGUAUCCCAGCUCGCCGUCGCGGUCUGCGGCGCGGGGGCGGUCGCCGUGGUGGGCGCAGCGGGCUGGAACUGCCGGCGCUGCUGGUGCUGCUGCGCCGGCGGCGGACGAGGGGGCAGGUGCGGCGCCCGGGCCUUAUUGGCCGUUGCAGCAGGUGUACUGUUUUUCUUGGUCAUCUUGGCGCGGAUGGCGUCCAGCGUCUCCACGUUCUUCUGCACCCGCUUCUCCUGGAUCCGGCGCUGGUCCUUGACGUCGCCCUCGGCGACGAUGGCGUCCAGCUUGAGCAGCUCGCUCAUGAGCGCCUCGGUGAGCGUGACCAGGUCGAGGCUGACGCGCGAGAUGGCCUUGGCGGCGCGCUGGGCCUUGGCAUUCCGGCGCUCUUCGAUGAGGCGCUUGGCCUGGGCGGUGGGGUCCUCGAGCAGCGUCAUCUUGGAGCGGUCCUUGACGCCGACCAUGUCGAGGAAGGCCUUGGAGUCGCGCUCCCUGUCCUUGUACACCACCUUCUGGUCGUCCGGGUGCAGCCCCGUCUUCUCUGACAUGAGCUUCUUGAGCUCCCCGAAGGAGGCCUGGGAGUUGAUGUACACCUCGUGGUACACGCCGGCGUACUUGACCUUGACGCGGAUGGUGGGGACGGGCGCGCCGCCGGGGGGCGGGUCCGAGUCCGGGGUGCGCUUCUGCACCAGCAUGCCGCUGGGCCGGACCUCCCACACCUCCUCCUGCACCGCCGCCGCCACCGACUCCCUCAUCGGGGAGAAUGCCGCGGGCCGCUGGUCCUUCCCGCGCAUCAUCUUGGCUUCGAUCUCCUCCCAAUCAAGCUUGUAUACUUCUCUGGUCAGAGCCGCAGCAGAGGCUAGCUAA